This 49-nucleotide transfer RNA is filed under the name Agropyron cristatum. RNAcentral describes it as "partial tRNA-Arg". Lineage: Eukaryota; Viridiplantae; Streptophyta; Magnoliopsida; Poales; Poaceae. The record is from RNAcentral.
GCGUCCAUUGUCUAAUGGAUAGGACAGAGGUCUUCUAAACCUUUGGUAU